UGACAAGGAAAGAAGAAAUGAUGGAGAUUGAAGGAAAAUAUUGCUUACACAAUGCGCUGAGGAUUCCAGAGGAUAGAAUAGGUGUGAAAGUCAGCAGUGGGGUCAAACCAGAGGUGAAAUUGUUGUUCUUUGUCACCUUUGCCAUUUGUGAAUACAUUGGUAUGCAGAGUGUAAGGGUCUGAGGAUUCCAGAGGAUAGAAUAGGUGCUGAGGAUUCCAGAGGAUAGAAUAGGUGUGAAAGUCAGCAGUGGGGUCAAACCAGAGGUGAAAUUGUUGUUCUUUGUCACCUUUGCCAUUUGUGAAUACAUUGGUAUGCAGAGUGUAAGGGUCACCACUUAAAUUCCCCAAGAACUCGAAGUCUAUCUCAUCCCAUGUUGAUCCUGGCGAUUUUAACUGCGUGAACAAAAAGUCAAAGGUCUAUAUGUCAGAUACAUGAUGAUCAAACAUGCAUAUUGUUUAUUCAUAUAAAGGGUGAUGAUCAAACAUGCAUAUUGUUUAUUCAUAUAAAGGCAGGAACUUACAUAAUAAGCAGUGACAGUGCCGGCAGAGUUGCCAGGGACUAGUUUGAGUUGCAUAUCAAUCUUGCCGAAUAGAUACUCAUUCUUGGACUGGAAGCCGGAGCCAGAGGCUUUAUCAAGGGAAAGAGUAAGAAGCUGGCCGUUGUUGAGUAUAUUAGCACGCCCGUCUCCCCAAGUGAUAUCAAAAUCUUGGUGGAAGUUACCAGCAGAGGUAACCAUCAAAGAGCCAAGAAGCAGCAGCGACAGAUGCAAUACUGAAGCCAUGGAAGCUUUCGUCUGAGCAACAACAAGAUAGAAGAAAUUGAGUUGGAGAGAAGUUUGAAAUUUUUUAAAGUGAAGCGAUGAGUGUGUUUAGGACCUUACCAGGGUUUGGUAUUUAUAGCUUGAUUGAGCUGGUGAAGGUGAGUAUAACGAAAGCAGAGGAAAGUAAUGGGAAGCUCCAGUUAGUUCAGCUUCAGCUGUGGCCAGUUGUUUGCGUAAAAUAGCGUGAUGAAAUAAAAACAGCUGUCCGAAUCGCACUAACAGAACACGCUACAACAGGGACUUUUUUUAAUUACAAUACGCGGCUUUGCAUAUUUUUGAGACUCAAGUACUUAUUCUGUACUGCUGUUAUGUUCCCAUCACCGGCUGACUCUUAUUAGCUUUUUUUUUUUCCAGCCACCACCAGUCAAAACACAAAAAAGAAAAUGUAGAAUUCACUGGGUACUCUUCUCUCUCGAGAUUUUCAUUUUUUUUUUUUUUGCAUUUUAUGCUCAAAAGAAAAAGAAAAAGAAAAAAUUGCUCAAUGACCUACUUAAUUAACAGAUUUUUUCGAUAACUAUAUUUAUUAUCAGGAAAUCAUUUAAUUCAAAAGCUUAAGACGUUAAACAGGAGUCCAGAAAAUAGCAUUAAAGUGUUAAAAGACCUGCCCAUGUGAAACAUGGAUCCAGUUUGAAGGUCAUGUCGUUCCAAAAGCGGAGAUAGGAGAUUAAAUUAGAGGUUCUUGAACAUACAAGAAUUGAAACAUAUACGUGUGUUAUUCGCAAAAAAUUGAGCACGCUGAGAUUUGAACAAGAAACCUUUGCUAUGUAAAAACGAAAUUGGCUUGACCCAAGAAAAUUAAAGACAAGUCUUUACUGGAGUCCCUAACACUAAUCAUGGAUCUAACAUCUAAGAAAUAUGUAUCCCAAGAUACCGAUACACAUGCUUCCUAGUAACAUGAAACUGUGAAUUUGUUUCCAAAUUUUAGGUUAAUUGAUAACACAUGCUUCCUGGUGGGUUCGUGUGUAAUAAAACACAUAUAGAACUUGAAGAUAUGCUUAUUAUUAUUAUUAUUAUUAAGGAAUUUAUAGAUAUUGGUAUUUAAAUCGAACGGACUGAAGAUUUUGCUGUGUACAAAAGCCCUGUUUCCUGUUUUGUAUAUUACCACUUAUACUAGAGAAUGUUUAAUUUGUUUAUCUGGAAAGGCGGUGGUGUCCUGGCGGGGUUGACUCGCCUUGAAAAAUCAACACUUGAGAGCUGGCUCGCAGCUUGUCCCCCUCUCAUUAUUAAUUAACACGUACAACAAUAACAGUAUGCAUCACUCUUCCUCAUCGACUUGUGCAAGUUCACUCAGUUAUUUUUUUAGUUUAUUUCUGCCAUUUUACCCUUUUACUGCCUUAUCUAAAUACUAAUCAAUGGCCAAAAUUUCUCCUCGAUUGACACAAAUACGGUAACGCUCACACGCAGUAUAUUUUCUUCUCAUUCUGGUGGAGACUCAUUUGCUCUUAUCUUCAUGCUUCCUCGAUAAUUCGUCAUAUUCCAAUCUAGGGUCUAAAAGCUUUAUUAAUGAGUCAUCAUGUCAAUACCUUUAAUUAGGCUUAUAACUAUAUGCUAAAGCUUACGAAGAAUAACAACAAAGAAGAACAAAAUCUUUUGAAAUAGUAAUAUUAUGUUUACUUAGUUAGCAUACUUAAUUUGUAUACCACGCAAGUACGCAUAACAUUAUCCUUUUUUAAAUUCAUUAACCAGUGUUACAUAUGGUAAAAAUUGGACUAAUAUGCCAUUUUAUUGAUUACAGAGAAACAAAGAAUCUGACUCCAGAAUCUACAUGAAUUGAAUAACCAUUGAAUGAUUACACGAAAGAAUAAAAUAAUUUUUAAGCGUCUUGUUGAUUAUUUUCUCUAGGAGGUUCUGCAUUCUGCAGGAAGGCCCUGAGGAAAUCUCUUUGUAUCAGCGCAGUAAUUGUAAAUCAUGUAAUUCUUCUGCACCCAUUUCAGCCUACUUUGAUUUGUUGAAUCUAGCUCUUGUGAGAACCAAGCACCGUUGCUGGAUGUAGAGGAAGCAGAAUUUGAAGCGCAAGAAGAUUUUCCAUUAGACCAAACACAAGCUUCAGCAUUAAAGUUUCUGUAGGAAGCAGUGAAAGGAGCAUGUGUCCAAUCUGUCUUCACGAGGCCACCUCUUGUGGCCCAGUCAUCAGCAUUCCAGAGAGAAGAGUAUAUUCUCAUUGGCUGAUUCUUUGGGAACGGAACGCCAAUUGACUCUGAGUUCUUAAAUUCUCUUAUGGGCGUGCCAUCAACAGAGAAGCUGAAAAUUAAGUAAACAUUGAUAAGUCUAAGCAGAUUGAAUGACAAGGAAAAAAAACUAAUGAUGGAGAUUGAAGGAAAAUAUUACUUACACAAUGCGCUGAGGAUUCCAGAGGAUAGAAUAGGUGUGAAAGUCAGCAGCGGGGUCAAACCAGAGGUGAAAUUGUUGCUCUCUGUCACCUUUGCCAUUUGUAAAGACAUUGGUAUGAAGAGUGUAAGGGUCACCACUUAAAUUUCCCAAGAAUUCAAAGUCUAUCUCAUCCCAUGUUGAUCCCGGUGAUUUUAGCUGCAUUAAAAAAAAAAAAAAACAGAUAUUUAUAUGUAUCAUCACAUAUGAUUAUUCAACUACGACCCAGUUUGCAUGCAUAAUACUUGCGUAUGAUUAAGUUGUAUUAAAAGAAGGAACUUACGUAAUAAGCAGUGACAGUGCCAGCAGAGUUGCCUGGGACAAGCUUGAGCUGCAUGUCAAUCUUGCCGUAUAGAUACUCAUUCUUGGACUGGAAUCCUGAGCCAGAAGCUUUAUCGAGGGAAAGAGUAAGAAGGUCGCCAUUGUUGAGCAUCUUGGCACGGCCAUCUCCCCAGGUGAUGUCAAAAUCUUUGUAGAAGUUACCAGCAGAUGCAACCAUCAAAGAGCCAAGCACAAGAAACAAAUGCAACGUUGAAGCCAUUGACAUAUGCUUGAGCAAACGAGGUACAAGUAGUGUUUGAAUUAACUGAGAGAAGUUUGUAAUUCGAAAGUGGAGCGAUGAAUGUGUUUAAGACCAUUGUGUUGUAUUUAUAGCCGGUGAAGAUGGGAAAUGUAAAAUGCAGAGGAAAGUGAAGGGAAAGGUCCAGUGAGCUCGGCUGUGGACAGUUGUUGGCUUGAAAAAAGUAUAAUAAAAUAGCUGUGCAUAUCGCACUAACAAGCAUUAUCCGACCAGCCAUAUUUUAUUAUAGCACGCGGUUUUUGCAUUAUUUUUGGGACCAAACGACUUCCGUUUAGUUUAGUAUGUGCCGCUGUCGUGGUCCCACUACCAGCUGACUCUUAUUAGAUUUUCCCACCGCCACUACUAAAGACAGUUGAAUUCACAUGAUGCGACCCUCUCUUCAGAUUUUCAGCUUUUUUUAUUAAUUGAUUCUCAAGGCAAGAGCAAAUGAAUAAUAUUAUAAUAAUACUAAGAAUAACAUAGAACUUAUUAAGAAAUUCCAGAAUUGAAAAUUCUCCUCACUAGCAAUUCAGUGUUCACCCAAGUGACAAUUAUGUUAUAUUUAUUCUGUUUGAAUUCUUAAUUUAGUAACUCCAAAAUUAAUCUUUUAUUGUCAUGUAUAUAAUAUUUAUUUUAUUAUUAAUUAUUUGUUAUCAACCUAAUUAAUAAAUGAUACAUAAAAUGUAAUAUUAAGGAGGAGACAAACUAAAUAUCCGAAUUGGGUUGGCAAUAACCGCAUGACAUUACUCAAAUUUUAUGUUACUGGCGUUGUCUAACACGCGAGACGGUGGUGGGUUUCGCUUGCCAUUCACUUGGACCUAACUGUAUGUAAAAUGAAUGUUUGUUUUGAAAAGGGAACUAGGCGGCGCCUUGUCUUCCCUUUCUUUAUAAACAAUUAACAAAUCAAGCAAAACCGCGUCUGGAAAACUUGGUCUGCGCCAUUUUAAUGAACAGUCAUUUGCUACAUUACUUUGCCAACUAUUACCAAAACGUACUGAAGUUUCCCGUGUAUCUUCUCUCCGUUCAACUCUGCCUAAACUUAUAGGAUAAAAACACCAACUAAGCACAACCUUUUCAUCAUUUCAGAUUCUUUUACAUUUCUAAUACUAUUCACAUGCAAAACAUUCCAGUGGCUUGCUUUCUAGUUUCUUCAUAUAUUCCGUCCAUGUUGAUGGUCAGUUUUGUGAUUUUCUCUCUAAUUGUAGCUUCUUCUGCUAACUUCUACCAAGAUUUUGAUAAUACUCGGGGAGAUAGACUUUGAAUUCUUGGGCAAUUUAAGUGGUGACCCUUACACUCUGCACACCAAUGUAUUCACAAAUGGCAAAGGUGACAGAGAGCAACAAUUUCACCUCUGGUUUGACCUUACUGCCGAUUUUCAUACCUAUUCCAUCCUCUGGAAUCCUCAGCGCAUUGUGUAAGUACUGUUUUUUUCCCUGUCGUUAAUUUGCUUAGACUUAUAACUUUUUUCAUUGUAAUUUCCAGCUUCUCUGUUGAUGGCACCCCCAUAAGAGAAUUCAAGAACUCAGAAUCAAUUGGAGUGCCAUUUCUAAAGAAUCAACCAAUGAGGAUGUACUCUUCUCUACGGAAUGCUGAUGACUAGGCUACAAGAGGUGGCCUUAUCAAGACACAAUGGACACAUGCUCCUUUCGCCGCUUCUUAUAGAAACUUCAAUGCUGAUGCAUGUGUCUCGUCUAAUGGAAUAUCUUCUUGUGCUUCAAGUUCACCUUCCUCUCCAUAUAUCCAACGGCUGCUCCUGGUUCUCACAAGAGCUUGAUUCAACAAGUUAAGAAAGGCUGAAAUGGGUACAAAAGACAUACAUGAUUUACAACUACUGCACCGACGCAAAGAGAUUUCCUCAAGGCCUUCCUUUGAAAAGAAAAAAUCUCCUAAAGAAGUGAUUAAAUCAAACAGAUAAAUCAGUGUAAACUUAUUACAUUCAAUUAUAUGCUCUCUGUAGAGCUAUUCUUUGCAGUCUUGGUCAUCAAUAAAAAGACAGAUUUGUCAUUCUUUAUAUCAGAAGUGUUAUAAUACGAAUUUUAUUGGAAAGAUGCAGAUGUGAUUUAUUAUAAAUUCAAUAUACUUAAUGUAAAAAGACUUAAAAGAUUGAGCUUUACUCAUCUAAAGUUCUCACAGACCAUAUCAACGUGAUCCCUUUCUAGCAUAUUCGCAUCUUAAUUCAUAUGAUAACUGAUACAACAUCAAUACUAUUAUUAUAACUUUAUUUUGAUAUUACAACAUAAAGUUUGAGCAUGAAAUAAACUACAUUAUUUACUUUAACUGUAGAAAUCAAAAUUAGAAUAAAUUGUAUUAUCAUUGAUGUGUUUAGUUUGUCUUGAAAUCUUAGUCAUAAUAAAUUAGACUGUCAUAAAUUACUAAAAAGUUUUUAAUUAAUUAUUAUCAUAAUUAUUAUUUUAUAUUUUAAUUAAUGUAAUUAUUGUUAUUCAGAAAUUAUUAUUAUUAAUUAUUGUUAAUAAUAAUAAUAAUAUCAUUAACAUGAAUAUAUUAAUUAUAAUAUUUUUUUAUCAAUAAUAAUGAUAAUAAUACAUUUGAAAAUCAUAAUAACAAUAAUAAUAAUCAAAAUCAUCAUCAUCAACGACAACAACAAAUCAAAAUCGGAUUUGGAUCAUAAUAUCAUCGUCGUUGUCGACAUCAUCAUCGGUGAUGGUUGUUGUUGCUAGAUCGUUGUUGCUAUUGCUCCUGCUCAACGGUCAGCGACGACCAAUGACGUUGAUUUUUGCAGUAACAGUUUGGUGAAGACGAUGAAAAUCGGUGAGGCUUCAAUUUACAGCGACUGUUUGCUGUGGUUUUUUUUUCUAUUUAAAUUUUUUUAAUUGAAUGAAGGUGUUGAUGCUGAAAUCUGCUCGCCUCUUGACCGACCAGAUUCUUUCACCAACGUUUGUGUUAUCUACUGUUGCUCGUUCACUGGGAUUGGAAUCGUCCUCCUUUCUCUCAAUAGACCUGCACUCACUAAAAAUGGAUCAGAGACGCCGGUGGUUUUGCCGGCGUAAACCCUCCGAUGCCUAAGUUAGCACAAGGUGUUUACGGGAAAACAGUGUAAUUUGGAUUCCAGGAGCUUAUUAAAAAUUUGUAAGGAAAUGGCCUAGUUGCAAUUUGGCAGCGUUUUCCCUCUCUCUUUUUUUUUUUCCCCUUUCUUCACCGAUUUCUUCUUCUUUUAUAGCCGCUGUCCCCACGUUUCCGUUUGCCAUUCAUCCCACCUUUUUCGGGUAGUGGCAGCCCCUCAUGGGAUUUUAACUGCUACAUUGUGGGCAAACGUGGGAUCUCGCAUCUCCCACAACGGUUCUGGGAAAAGCGCAACUACCGCGAUUCUGUGGGAUCGUGUUUCCGCUUUUUGAGGGACGGGUACCGACUCGGUAUACGACUCUGGUCGGUAUUCGUCUCUGAUCAGCUCAUGUUACCCCCUGUUCUGCUCGUACCAUUUGGCUGAGGUGAUUCAUGCCGGGGUGGAAAUAGUAGCAUGGCCGACCUGGUGCUUUUAUUUGCUUAACACCAGUCCCCCAGUUUUUGGUCUUGUGAGUGAAAUGAGUCAAGAGUAGAAACUGAUAGUCAAAUCUUACCAAUCCAGGGGCUUCUCCUCUGAUCUUUCGUCUACCGGGAUGGACCUGAGGUAUCAUUUUUCUUCAGGGGAGAUUUUGACCUGAGCAUGGGCCUAAAUGAGUAUGUCCAUUGCGUAUCUGGGCUUGCAUCUAGCCUGGCCUCUUAUAACGAUUGGUGACGUGGCAUCUCCCGACUCUUCGUAUUUGAAAUUUGAAACGACGGGCUAUCUGUCCUUGAUGUACGGUGAGUGAGCUGGCGUCUCUAUCACUUAAAUGCUUUCAUUUCCCCUUUUUCGUUUCAAAUCCCUAGACUUAUAUCUGCAUCGCUUUGUUAUUCAUCUCUUCAUCGUUAACUAACUCCCUCUCUGAACUUUGCUUACACUUCUCGUGUCUGGAGUAUCCACUCGCUGAAUUUUUUCUCUAUCACGGUCGCGCUAUCAGUGCCAGUUCAAUCCAGGUAUUGCCUUUAACUUCUCCUCUGGUUAUUGUUGAUUGGGUUCUGUGUUGCCCUUUUUGUGUCCAUAUACUCGAGUUUUCUUUGUUUUCUUUUGAGGUUCUGAUAUGUCAAACCGAAAAAGAAAGUUAAUUGUUGAUGAGGAUGAUGAAGAAUCAGGGGAUUCAGGCCUCAACGUGUCAAUACCCACCUAUUUCUUAGGUCCCUCCAGUAAUGUAGGUCCUUCCCAUGGCAGGGAUACCCUUGAGUACCCACGCCCCUUGGUUGUCUCUUCCUUUCCCGAACUAGAGCUUGUAGGGAAUAGAGGUGGACUUGCGUCGGGAUCUGGUGAGAACCACAGCUUUGGUGGGGUUGGGAUCCGUGAAGGAGUUGGCGAUGGUGAGGGGAGCAGUUCCGGACCGAGCGGUCUUGCUAAGAAAAGGAAUAUUGGCCAUAGGGUGGAGGCUGAUUUCUACCCUAUUGAUUACAUAGCCUGUGCCACCACCCAAACUGACUUAUUCAAGCUUAGGAACCUCUACGACAUUCCUGAGGAGGUUCUUCUUGUAGUUCCUGGGAAGGGUGACGUUCCUAGUCGGCCUCCACGGGGGUAUGUGACAAUGCACCUAGAGAGUUUCAAACUAGGAGCUCGGCUGCCCCUUCAGCGUUAUUUUUCCAAAAUAUUGGGGGGUAUGCACCUGGCCCCAGAUCAGCUACACCCGAACGGGUGGAGGGUUCUCUCGGCAAUGUUUGUGUUGUGGUAGAGGUGCGGGUCGGAGGAGCCUUCCCUUGUUGAAGUGAAACAUCUGUAUCAGCUGCGGAGCAGCCCAAGGGAGGCGGGCUGGUAUUACUUCAUGUCCAGUUCCGCAAAGAGAAAGCCAAUCACUGGUUUCCCCUCCUCGUGCAAAAAUUGGAAGAACAAAUUCUUCUUUGCUGGGGGAAAGUGGUGUUCAGCACUCCGUUCGUUGGGUGGUGAUAUUUACCUUCCAACGCAGUUUGUCACCCCAGGUCGUUCAUUUUUUGCCUAUAUUCCUUCUCAAACUGUCACUUAUCGAGUUCUUUAACCUCUUUUGCUAUUUCAGAGUCGUGGGGUUUGAUCGGGGGGCUUAAAGAUUGACCUUUGCUUCAGGUGGAAACUGCUCUGUUGAACGCGUCUACCUGCCAAGACCUCCUGUCGCCAACAAACCUGGUCGGUUCGGGCCUAGUAGACAUAGCCGCUGGAAUGGAUAACAAAAUCCUUAGCGCGAUGAGCAGGAAGCGUGGUCGGGCUCCGAGUAGCUCCAACAACCUUCCCCCUCCUCCAAAGAAACCCAGCGUCUGUCUUUCCAAGGCGCCUGUUCCUGCUCUGCCCCCUCCUCCACCUCGUAAGAGUGGUGGGGAGAAAACCUACGACAAGAGUCCUGAGGUCAGCUUGCAAUCUGAGGACCGAUCUUCUCCUCUUCUAUCUCGGGAUCAAGGUGACUACCUGAGCCCAUAUCAGAAGGAUUAUAAAAAAUCGGUUGGGCCCAAGAUGGUGAAGGACAUCGAGAGCAUGAGUCUCUCCGAGUUAGCUGCUUUUAUUCAAAGAGUCUCCUUCAGGUUGUCCACAAUGGUCUCGUGCUACAAGACCGGGUCCGCGCGUCAUGAGAAGAAGCUUCAAGCUGACAAUCAGGAGUUGAAAAAGAAAGCUGAAUCUGCUGACCGCUCCAAGGAGAAACUAGCCGAGCUGAACAAGCAGAUUACAGAGCUGGAGGAGAAAGUUGCAGUUGCUGAGUCUACUGCCUCCAGGUUUGAGGGUGAGUUGGAUGGCCUGAAGUCGGACCUUCAGGUAACUCAAAGUGAAAGAGAUACUUUGAGGACCGCCCUUGAGGGAGAAAUCAAAUCCCUGAAUGAGCAGCUGGCUGAGGAGAAAGGCAAAUCCGCUGAUGUGGACGAUCGGUUGGAUGCCGAGUAUGACUCGGGGGUUGCUUUCUCCUAUAAGUGUAUCAUGUCUGUGCUUCAGGGAGAAUAUCCCGAGCUGGACAUGAGCAAGUUGGAGGCUGGAGUGCAGCGGUAUAUGGCAGAGGUCGGCCAGGCGGACAAUGAGCAGGGUGAGCAGGAUCAGGUGGAGGCUCCUUUGGAUGAGGUGCAAGAGGGGGAAGCUGGGGGACGUCCUUUCGAAGUGGGUCAAGGGUCCAUGCCUCCUCCUCCCGGCAUUGCUGAUCUCCCACCUCCUGAACUGCUGUACGGCCAAGGCGGAUGUACGGUACAGCAGUUUGUAAACAAUUGAACAUUUAUAAAUUUUUAGAUGCUCUUUAUUUGCUUUCUUGUUCGGUUUUUGCUAAUAGAUUGUUUCUGAAAAACAAUUGGAUAACUUAUCUGAUUUUGCCUGCUGGUUCCUUAGCGAACUGAGCAGGAGUAGACAUUUACUUGCCUUAGUAAAAUUUCCAUAAAACUGGUUGCUUGUCUUCAUUGACCGAGCCGAACUAGGCACUUACUUGCCUUAAUAGGAUUUUUUGUAGAAUUAGCUGCUGGUCUUUCGUUGACCGAGCAGAAGUAGGCAUUUACUUGCCUUAGUAGGAUCUUCGUAGAUUUAGCUGCUGGUCUUUCGUUGACCGAGCAGAAGUAGGCAUUUACUUGCCUUAGUAGGAUCUUCGUAGAUUUAGCUGCUGGUCUUUCGUUGACCGAGCAGAAGUAGGCACUUACUUGCCUUAGUAGAAUCUUCGUAAAUUUAGCUGCUGGUCUUUGGUUAACCGAGCAGAAGUAGGCGCUUACUUGCCUUAGUAGAAUCUUCGUAGAUUUAGCUGCUGGUCUUUCGUUGACCGAGCAGAAGUAGGCACUUACUUGCCUUAGUAGAAUCUUGGUAAAUUUAACUACUGGUCUUUCGUUGACCGAGCAGAAGUAGGCACUUACUUGUCUUAGUAAGAUUUUUUGCUUCAAGCUGACAAUCAGGAGUUGAAAAAGAAAGCUGAAUCUGCUGACCGCUCCAAGGAGAAACUAGCCGAGCUGAACAAGCAGAUUACAGAGCUGGAGGAGAAAGUUGCAGUUGCUGAGUCCACUGCCUCCAAGUUUGAGGGUGAGUUGGGUGGCCUGAAGUCGGACCUUCAGGUAACUCAAAGUGAAAGAGAUACUUUGAGGACCGCCCUUGUGGGAGAAAUCAAAUCCCUGAAUGAGCAGCUGGCUGAGGAGAAAGGCAAAUCCGCUGAUGUGGACGAUCGGUUGGAUGCCGAGUAUGACUCGGGGGUCUCCUGGUCCCGUGGCUCGUAUUACUCUAUACGGGCCUUUCCAUUUUGGGCCAAGAGCACCAUGGUUGGGAUCCCUAGUAUUUUGAUUCACCUUCCUAAGUACCCAAUCUCCUGCUCGGAACUGCCUCACGCGUACAUUCUUGUUGUAAUAACGCGUGACCCUUUGCUGACACUGGGCCACUUUCUGUGAGGCCCCUUCCAUUUUCUCCUCAAGUAGGUCCAGGCUUAAGCAGAUCUGCUCGUCAUUUUCUUCCUCAGCGAAAUAUUCCGUUCGAUGUGUCCCCACUCCAAUCUCUGCUGGGACUACUGCCUCAUGACCAAAAGAUAAAGCGAACGGGGUUUCCCCUGUAGCAGUUUUGUGAGUUGUCCGGUAAGCCCACAAUACCCCUGGUAGCUCGUCAACCCAAGCUCAUUUUUUGAUUGCCAACUUGUGGCAAGCUACCCCGCGAUCAAUUCCGGGCAUAUCUUCAUGAGACCAGGCGAAUAUAUCCGCAUGAGACUGUAGGCAAUUUAUCAGUUCGCCUUUUAUUGCCCCAACCAAUCCUGACCCGAUCUUCACUACUCUGCUCGGGUUGCUUUUGCUUACCGCAACUUCCUCCAGUUUCUCAACAGGCUCUUGGCGGCCCUUUUUAGAGUCUCCUCGAUUAUCUAGAGAGGUAACCUGCAGUGUCUCCUUGGCCGCUGUAGCAUAACAACUCCUUGCCAUCCUCUGGUCACCUUUUACUACGCCAACCACCCCAUUUACUCUGUAUUUCAGUGCCAAGUAAUGCGUGGAUACAACGCAUUGGCUUAUCCUCAUGAAUGGUCUCCCCAGUAUCAUCUGGUAAGGGCUUCUUUCCUCUACCACGACAAAAUCCAGCAUCAUUGUUCUUUCAAAUGGUUUUGUCCCUAUAGUAAUUGGGAGUUCGAUGAUCCCCAUGAGAGUUAACCGUCCCCCUCCAAAUCCCUUUAAGGAUGUAUUUGUCCGCUCAAAUUUCAAGUCUGCGAUCCCCAUAUCAUCUAGAGCCAACUUAAACAGGAUGUCAACCGAGCUGCCUGUGUCUACUAGUAUUCGUCGCAAUUCUGUACCGACCACCAUUGCCUUGAUCACCAAUGCAUCCUCAUGCGGAUAUAAGAUACCCUCUUCAUCGUCAUCUGUCCACAUAAUGGGAACUUGCCGCACUUUUGCCUUCUUGGUUGCCGGCAAAUUGAAAAGCACUUCUUUGCUAGUCAGGGCAUAUCUCCCAUAGUUCUUCCGUGCCCUGUUCGAAUCCCCGGCCAAUGUUGGCCCUCCUGCUAUUACACGGAUGGUCGGCUGUUCACAUUCCAAAUCCCUCUCAACCCCUUCAUCCCGUGUAUAUUGUGAUUCCAUGACAAGGGACAUUCCAUCUACAUACUCGUCUGUUGUAAUAACGCGUGACCCUUUGCUGACACUGGGCCACUUUCUGUGAGGCCCCUUCCAUUUUCUCCUCAAGUAGGUCCAGGCUUAAGCAGAUCUGCUCGUCAUUUUCUAUCAGCUGAACUGCUCGGUUAUCAUGAAUGUCACCUCGGGCUGACACAGUCGCUAACUGAUCUGGUCGACUAGCCAUGGAAUUAGUUGCAUGUGAUGCUCUGGGAGUGUUGUGAUAGGGGUGGGCAGCCAUCUGCCGGAAUUCUCUUUGCCGAUCCGGGAAUGGGGGACGCGGAGGUUGAGCCCGGUUGUGCUGGAACUGCUGUGAUCUCAGAGCCAUGGGGUAAGGGCGGGACCGAGCCGAUAUUCCGCCCAUCACUGAAGAUUCUCCAGCUCGUUUUCCCGACCCGCUCCCUGUCGGGACUCUCCGUUCCUUUCGCCUCAGCUCGUCCAGCUGUUCACUUUUUAUUCUUGCCGAUUUCUCCUCUUCGAUUUCUAUAUCUCGCCUCGCCUGCUCAUACCCCGACGAGUAAUUCUGUACAAGGGGGCUUCUUAAGUUAUACCAUAGUCGGCCGAUUCUUACACCUUCUUUUAAUCCCCUCAACGCCUGCGGGUGAUUAAAAGCUCCCAGAUCCAGCACGGCUCGGUGAUAUCUUUUUACAACCAUUUUGGGCCAAGAGCACCAUGGUUGGGAUCCCUAGUAUUUUGAUUCACCUUCCUAAGUACCCAAUCUCCUGCUCGGAACUGCCUCACGCGUACAUUCUUGUUGUAAUAACGCGUGACCCUUUGCUGACACUGGGCCACUUUCUGUGAGGCCCCUUCCAUUUUCUCCUCAAGUAGGUCCAGGCUUAAGCAGAUCUGCUCGUCAUUUUCUUCCUCAGCGAAAUAUUCCGUUCGAUGUGUCCCCACUCCAAUCUCUGCUGGGACUACUGCCUCAUGACCAAAAGAUAAAGCGAACGGGGUUUCCCCUGUAGCAGUUUUGUGAGUUGUCCGGUAAGCCCACAAUACCCCUGGUAGCUCGUCAACCCAAGCUCAUUGCAGAAUCUGCUCUUAUCCCGUCGGUGAGUCGGUUUUGUUAUUGGGGCUGGAGGGUACAGCAAGCUUCGUCCCUCGAUCCUCUCAUACAAUUCCUCCAUGGAGAUCUUUAACGGAGUGUACUGUCUAUACGCCAAGCUCUGGUCUAUCAGCUGAACUGCUCGGUUAUCAUGAAUGUCACCUCGGGCUGACACAGUCGCUAACUGAUCUGGUCGACUAGCCAUGGAAUUAGUUGCAUGUGAUGCUCUGGGAGUGUUGUGAUAGGGGUGGGCAGCCAUCUGCCGGAAUUCUCUUUGCCGAUCCGGGAAUGGGGGACGCGGAGGUUGAGCCCGGUUGUGCUGGAACUGCUGUGAUCUCAGAGCCAUGGGGUAAGGGCGGGACCGAGCCGAUAUUCCGCCCAUCACUGAAGAUUCUCCAGCUCGUUUUCCCGACCCGCUCCCUGUCGGGACUCUCCGUUCCUUUCGCCUCAGCUCGUCCAGCUGUUCACUUUUUAUUCUUGCCGAUUUCUCCUCUUCGAUUUCUAUAUCUCGCCUCGCCUGCUCAUACCCCGACGAGUAAUUCUGUACAAGGGGGCUUCUUAAGUUAUACCACAGUCGGCCGAUUCUUACACCUUCUUUUAAUCCCCUCAACGCCUGCGGGUGAUUAAAAGCUCCCAGAUCCAGCACGGCUCGGUGAUAUCUUUUUACAAAAUCUCGAAGGGAUUCAUGCUCCUCCUGUUUCAUCCCCAUCAGUUCCAUCAUAUCGUCCUCUGGGGCCAUUGCCCCUCGGAACUGCUCGGCCAACUCCUGGCACAUCUGCUCAUACCCUUUUAUACUUCCUCGGGGCAGCUUGCGGUACCAUUCUCGGGCUCGUCCCUCUAAUGUCAACGGGAACACCCUGCACCUCUGAGCUGAUGUCAGCCCCUGCACACCCGUCAUGUCGUUGAAACGCUCAAUGUGCACCAGCGGGACAUUUCGCCCGGAGUAUUUGAGGUCGGGGAAGCGGAAAUCUCUUGGGAUUAUGGUACUCAUGAUCUCAGUUGAUAACAGAGAUUCUUCAUCUAGCAUUAUCCUCCAGGUCGAGGCUUUCUCUUGCCCUGUAUCUCCUCUAUCACCUACGCCAAUCUGCGCACCUCCCCCUCCAAUUCUAAGGCACGGUCAGGAUCACGUGCAGCUAUAUGGUCUCGUUCCAGCUCGGCAUUGUGUAACCGCUAUCUGAGCUCUCCUUCGUCAACACUGGCACCUCGGCCAUUGACUUCCAGGACCUGUCCGGGGCGAGGUUGGUCCCUCCCUUCAUCCACGCGUUCUCCCGGGACCCGACCAGUACUUCUGUGGGGAUGCACCCCAUUAGGUUGGUCUGCGGGCGGAGGGAUUUCCUCGACUCUACGCCUCCGAAGGCUGGGUUCUACUCCAACUUCAUCUCUUCCCACGGGGGUUUCACAAUCCCUUCUCCGCUCAUCCCUCAGCUCGAACAAUAUGGUUGCGAGAGUCUCCAUUUGUUUCUCCAUCCGCUCCAGUCUAUCUUGCAUCAUCUUCUCUCGGGCUUCAUUUGCAAUUUCCCGGAGAGUGACUGUCUCCCCAGCUUCGUUAUCCUCCCUCAAAGCGUCCUUCCUUGUCACAUCCAUGCCUAACCGUUCGCUGUUUUUCCAGUAACUACUAAUUCGGUGGUAGCUUUUUAUCCAGNNNNNNNNNNNNNNNNNNNNNNNNNNNNNNNNNNNNNNNNNNNNNNNNNNNNNNNNNNNNNNNNNNNNNNNNNNNNNNNNNNNNNNNNNNNNNNNNNNNNNNNNNNNNNNNNNNNNNNNNNNNNNNNNNNNNNNNNNNNNNNNNNNNNNNNNNNNNNNNNNNNNNNNNNNNNNNNNNNNNNNNNNNNNNNNNNNNNNNNNNNNNNNNNNNNNNNNNNNNNNNNNNNNNNNNNNNNNNNNNNNNNNNNNNNNNNNNNNNNNNNNNNNNNNNNNNNNNNNNNNNNNNNNNNNNNNNNNNNNNNNNNNNNNNNNNNNNNNNNNNNNNNNNNNNNNNNNNNNNNNNNNNNNNNNNNNNNNNNNNNNNNNNNNNNNNNNNNNNNNNNNNNNNNNNNNNNNNNNNNNNNNNNNNNNNNNNNNNNNNNNNNNNNNNNNNNNNNNNNNNNNNNNNNNNNNNNNNNNNNNNNNNNNNNNNNNNNNNNNNNNNNNNNNNNNNNNNNNNNNNNNNNNNNNNNNNNNNNNNNNNNNNNNNNNNNNNNNNNNNNNNNNNNNNNNNNNNNNNNNNNNGUUGAUAACGGAGAUUCUUCAUCUAGCAUUAUCCUCCAGCUCGGGGGCUUUCUCUUGCCCUGUAUCUUCUCUAUCACCUGUGCCAAUCUGCGCACCUCCUCCUCCAAUUCUACGGCACGAUCAGGAUCACGUGCAGCUAUAUGGUCUCGUUCCAGCUUGGCAUUGUGUAACCGCUGUCUGAGCUCUCCUUCGUCAACACUGGCACCUCGGCCAUUGACUUCCAGGACCUGUCCGGGGCGAGGUUGGUCCCUCCCUUCAUCCACGCGUUCUCCCGGGACCCGACCAGUACUUCUGUGGGGAUGCACCCCAUUAGGUUGGUCUGCGGGCGGAGGGAUUUCCUCUACUCUACGCCUCCGGAGGCUGGGUUCUGCUCCAACUUCAUCUCUUCCCACGGGGGUUUCACAAUCCCUUCUCCGCUCAUCCCUCAGCUCGAACAAUAUGGUUGCGAGAGUCUCCAUUUGUUUCUCCAUCCGCUCCAGUCUAUCUUGCAUCAUCUUCUCUCGGGCUUCAUUUGCAAUUUCCCGGAGAGUGACUGUCUCCCCAGCUUCGUUAUCCUCCCUCAAAGCGUCCUUCCUUGUCACAUCCAUGCCUAACUGUUCGCUGUUUUUCCGGUAACUACUAAUUCGGUGGUAGCUUUUUAUCCAGCUCCCCACAGACGGCGCCAAAAUGUUGAUGCUGAAAUCUGCUCGCCUCUUGACCGACCAGAUUCUUUCACCAACGUUUGUGUUAUCUACUGUUGCUUGUUCACUAGGAUUGGAAUCGUCCUUCUUUCUCUCAAUAGACCUGCACUCACUAAAAAUGGAUCAGAGACGCCGGUGGUUUUACCGGCGUAAACCCUCCGAUGCCUAAGUUAGCACAAGGUGUUUACAGGAAAACAGUGUAAUUUGGAUUCCAGGAGCUUAUUAAAAAUUUGUAAGGAAAUGGCCUAGUUGCAAUUUGGCAGCGUUUUCCCUCUCUCUCUUUUUUUCCCCUUUCUUCACCGAUUUCUUCUUCUUUUAUAGCCGUUGUCCCCACGUUUCCGUUUGCCAUUCAUCUCACCUUUUUCGGGUAGUGGCAGCCCCUUAUGGGAUUUUAACUGCUACAUUGUGGGCAAACGUGGGAUCUCGCAUCUCCCACAACGGUUCUGGGAAAAGCGCAACUACCGCGAUUCUGUGGGAUCGUAUUUCCGCUUUUUGGGGGACGGGUACCGGCUCGGUAUACAACUCUGGUCGGUAUUCGUCUCUGAUCAGCUCAUGUUACCCCCUGUUCUGCUCGUACCAUUUGGCUGAGGUGAUUCAUGCCGGGGUGGAAAUAGUAGCAUGGCCGACCUGGUGCUUUUAUUUGCUUAACAGAAGGUAUUUUCAGAAUGUUAAAAUUUCAAUGGGAACAGAUUUUUUAUUCCCAAAAAUCGAUCGUUGAGAAUUAGUCUCGCAUUUUCAUGCUUAUUUUAGUCUUUCAUUUUGAUGCUUAUUUUGUAAAGUAAAUGCUAUUAAUAAUUUCGAUUCUCCAAUCAAGAAAGUAAACAUAAGUAAACAUCGCAGUAAUGUAUAACUAUAGCAAAUUUAUGAUAUAAAGUAUUGUCAUUAUAUAUAUGUUUAUACUCGCGCGGAAUCUACGUAAGCACUCGUGGCCACAGCACACUCAAGAGGAAGCCCUUUUGGGAAGCGCUUUGUGUCUGUACAAUAAUUAUAAAUCAUGUAAUUCUUCUGCACCCACUUGAGUUUCUCUCGGCUUGUUUCAUCAAGCUCAUCGAUCUUCAUCCAUGCAGAGGAUGAAGAAUUCGAAGGGCAAGGCGCAGAAAUGAUUGGACCUGCUGGGUAACGAAUGCAAGUUUUGGCAUUAAAGUUUCUACAAGAAGCUGUAAAUGGAGCUUUUGUCCAAUCUGUUUUGACAAGACCGCCUCUUGUUGCCCAGUCAUCAGCGUUCCAGAGACUCGAGUGUAUUCUCAUUGGUUGGUUUUUUGGGUAAGGAAUGUUGAUUGACUCCAAGUUCUUGAACUCUCUAAUCGGUGUGCCAUCGACAUAGAAUCUGAAAACGUUUUUAAACAAAAAUGUUAGAGAGCCUUUUUAACCCAAAAGAGCCCAAAGAAUAUAUGAAGUAUUAAACCAAAAAAAAGAGACACGUCUAAUAAAAAAAAGAAGAGGAUUAAUUAGUGACUUGAAUUGUUGCUUGUUUUCAACAAGAGAUGAUUAGUGGAUUGAAAUUCUUACACGAUGGUUUUGGGAUUCCAGAGAAUGGAAUAUGUGUGAAAAUCUGAAGUGGGAUCAAACCAGGGAUAAAAUUGCUGCUCUCUGUCACCUUUGCCUUGUGUGAUUACAUUUGUGUGAAAAAUAUAAGGAUCGCCACUGAGAUUUCCCAAGAACUCAAAGUCUAUCUCAUCCCAUGUUGAUCCUUGUGAUGACAACUAUAACACAGAAUUAAAAAUAAGCUUACUCUUAAAGAGAAAAACAUUUUCGUGCAAGAUCACUGGCAGCUUACGCCUUACAUAGUAAGAUGUGACAGUGCCAGCAGAGUUGCCUGGGACAAGCUUGAAUUGCAUGUCAAUUUUGCCAAAUAGAUACUCAUUCUUGGACUGGAAACCUGAGCCUGUGUCUUUGCCAAGGUAAAGAUUGAGGACUUCUCCAUCGUUGCGAAUCCUGACCUUGUCAAUUCCCCAUAUGAUGUCAAAAUCUUGAUAAAAAUUACUAGCUGGUAAAACUAACACAAAAGAGUUAGAUAAUAAAGCAGACAGCAUUAUCAGCACUACUAGUGAUUUAGCCGCAGCCAUUGUGCGAUAUUUAAAAUUUUGUUAUAGUUUUGGAUUUUUAUAGAGACGAAAAGAAAGAAGCGAUUUGCCAUUUGGAAAAAGAAAAAUGAAAAUUUUAAGAGAUAAGAUAGAUGAUGGGGAAGAGUUAGAGUCAAGGAUUAGGCUAGCACUUGUGGGGCAAAGAGCAAGAGCGGGAAACAGAUGGCAAAGACUGAAAUUAGUGAAAAGAAACUGCGAAAAUGCGGAUUUAUGCAUGUCACACAAGUGACAGCCCUAAGCAUGGUUUAUUAACACGUUGAAAUUUUGGCUGAUGGGUGCUUUUUGACCACUCUAUAUAGUUUCCGCAUCUACUGACCGGCUGGGCUCAGCCCUAUGUGAUUAGGAUGACUUUGGAGCAGUUUCCGUACUUAGAAUAGUCCCAAAAUAUGCUUAAGAAAAUGAGCAGGGUGUUCAAAAUCUAAUUCAAUUGGCUUAAUCCCAAAAUUAAUAGUCCCAAAAUUUGACUUUUAUAAUCGCCGAGAGUAAAAAUGAUUAUCUUAAGAUUUCAACAAGUCUUAAUAUAUUUUUCUUCACUUUUCUUUCUAGUAAUCAUGACAAUACAAAAAUUGUAACUAAAAAAGAAGAAUUAUGUACUUGGUCAUGAUUCAUGAGGAGACAUAAUGAAUCUUAUAAAAUGAAACCUUUGACUUCAAUUGGAUCUUGAGUCGCACAACCACUCUAGCUUUAUACAUAUUGUGUCUAGAUAUAAUAAAGUUCAAUGGUGCUCGUCGUUAAUUACUGUUAAAUGAUAAUAAAGUUUUAGCAAGAUGAUAUGAAUAUAAAGAGCAAAACAAUUUCGGAAUAUUUUGAGCUGUCAUAUUUACAUAAUUAACUUAACAGCUAAUAUGUUUAUCAAACAUUUACACAGUAAUAAUUAAUAUUAAUAACUUUUGUAACAACUCAAUCCCAAACUUGCCUCUUUUUAAUGUUUUGAAAUUAAACUUUACCUUUAAAUGUGUUGACAGAUAUUGACUCCUCCAAAUUAGCUCCAUCAACUGAAAUUCACCGCCACGUUUCCCCGACAUCUUAGGCGCCAGCAUCAUUUACACGUGGCAAAAAGAUAACUUUACACUUAUUUGAUAAACACAAAAGUAAAACUUCAAUUAAUCAAAUUAGAAAUAAUAGCUACCUGAUGUCCCAAAAUAUUUGUAUGAAGUCACAUAAAUCUUAUCACAACGAACAAAGUAGCUAGCUAUCACUUCUAUUUGGUCCAUUUUUCAUCUGCAUCAUUUUCCUACGUCCUGCAUGAAGGACCAAAAACAGAAGGAGCAGCUGGGGGAUGAAGGGAAAAACCCUAAUGGUCAAAACCCUUGUGGAGAAAACCCUAAUGGAGAAAGCCCUAAAAAGCAAAAUGAUGAUGCUUCACUUGUACGGCAUCCUGUGAAGAGUACUGGUCAUCAUCUGAUCGCUGAUGAUUCUUAUUUUGAUUCAUUCCCGCCUGGUUACCGAUUCAAACCCCACGAUGGAGAACUUGUGGUUUAUUACUUGCGGAGGAAGAUACUGAAUCAGCCAUUGCCUCCAAACCAGAUCAAGGUGGUGGAGUUGUAUAGGUUUAAUCCUAACACACUUACAGGUUAGGGGAAAAAAAAGUCACUUUUAAUUUCUUAUUUUCUCAAUUUCUGUGUUGUAUGUUGUUUUAUUGGCACGCAUCAUAUAUGAUUAAUUUUUUUUAUAAAAAAAUCUGUUUAUUCCUUAUUUCUCGAGAUUAUUAUUUAUUAGAAUGGAAAUUUUCUGAGUCUCGUUAGUGGCUUCUCUACUCUUUAUUAUUCAAAUUUUGUAGUCUUCGCUUGGGAUAUUUGUGGCUUCUCUACUCUUUUUCACGAUAGAUGUUUAUGCCAUUACAUAUAUAAUAUUACAGUGUAUAUUUUAAUGUGAUGCGAUUUUACAUCAGGUAUGAUUUUAGAUUUAGAUGGUGUUGUAAAUCAGCAUAUAAAAUUUAAUCCCCUCAUAUUGAAAACGUUUAUAAUAUGUUAUUUCUUUCGUAUUAGUUUGUCUACAUUUUUUUUGUUUCAUGAUAUCUUUAUGAAAUUUCUUUUAUUCUGUCCACUGAUGCAAUGAUUUACAGAAAGGUACAAGUCACUUGGUGAAAUGGAAUGUUAUUUCCUUACACCAAGAGAUAGAAAAUAUCGAAAUGGUCUAAGACCCAAUCGAGCUGCUGCAGAUGGGUACUGGAAGGCCACAGGAGCUGAUAAACCUGUUAAGCACAAUGGCAGUUUGGUUGGAUUCAAGAAGGCAUUGGUCUUCUACAAGGGAAAAGCUCCAAAGGGUGAUAAGACUAACUGGAUCAUGCAUGAAUACAUAGUGAAUAAUCCACCACAGAAACAAAAAGGCCGAAAUGAUAUGAGGGUAAAUGAUUUUCCUUGUUGUCCAAAUUCAUUUUUAUUUGAUUCUUUUUUUUGGUUUUAUUCGACUAAUUUCUGCUUCAUACAAGUCCCUUGCAGUUAGAUGACUGGGUUCUCUGUAGGAUCUAUAAGAAAACAAAGCAGUCAGCCAAAGCUUCUACUCGAAAACGAGAGGAUUCAGAGGAGGAUCAACAAUCAAGAAGCGAAGUUGCAACUCAAUCUCAAGAUAGUGGACAAACUUCAGUUGAUGAAAAGGCUAAAAUGCUGCCCAAAACAGAAAAUUUCAAGCCUGAAGGCCUUGGAAUCUUUGAUGUGCCUGAUUACUACAACCAGGGAAGAUUCUUCAGCGCAUAUGAUAAUGUCCUUUUAUCUUGUCAGAGUCCAUAUGCUAAUUUUCAGGAUGGUCAUCAGGGUAAUUCUCAGAAUUGGCUUCCUUUAAUCCCUCAGUCGGGGUUUCAGCAAAUGCUCCAUCAUAAUCCUACGUGGGAGAGCCCUAUGAAGCCUGAACAGUUCGGAUAUCCGCCCGAUGAUGUGUUUAGUGAUCUCCCUUCGGAAGACAAUUGUUUUGAUCCUCUACCUCAUAAUUUUACGAACUUAUAACUCUUUUCAUUUUGUGAUUCGAUUAGUUAAUGGUAGCUGACAUUAAUUGGCAUUUAUAAUAAGUUAGUUAGAGUGUACUUUAGUAGAGGUCGGUUUUCUUGAACUCAAUUUUUCUUGCAAUUCUGUGUACUUUGAUUGUUAUUUAUAUGAAUGUCAGCAGCAUGGAUAUUCAAGGAGAGUUGCUAUUUCUAUGGGUGGUAUGCUAAGGCUCCAUUUGCUUUAGCUUUUUGGUACUAAUUCUGUUACCAUUAUCAAAAUAUUUAAAAUAUUUGUAACUCAACUUUGACAGUACAACUGAUUAUUUCUCACAGUUUUCAGUUGUAACGCUCUUUGAACAAGAUUUUCUAAUCACUAAAAUUAUAUACAUAGUUUCCUAGAAUACCAAAUUAUUUACGUGACGAUCAUAUUCUUUGUUUGCCUCAAAGCUUGAGUUGUUUCUUUUAUCUCUCUUAAUUCCAAUUCAAGAGCUGUUUUCAGAAUUUUUUUUCCUUAAAUCCCAAUAGAAAAAAUGUAACGGAACAAUUUGUUAUGAAUGUAAUAAGCCAUAUAUAUCACAAAAAGGAGCAUAAACUGCACGGCUACUAUAUAUUGUUGAAGCUCUAUGAUUUUUAAAUUCUUUAUGAACGAUGUACCUCCGAUGUACUUUUAUUUUUUCUUCUUUUUGUCAUUUUGAGAUAAAUUUUUCUCCUCGAUCUCUUUAGAUGUUCAUAACUAAAUAUUCUUUAAGAUAGAGCGCAAUGUUUUAUCCCUACCACCACAACCCUAUCAUAAAGGAGACUAAAAAUUUGAGUUGGAGAAACAAGAAACUCAAUUCAAUCUAUAGAAAUUAUGAAGCCGUGUGAUAUGAUGAACUAACGGAGCUGCAGAAUGGCCUUUGAAAGUAAUGUUAAAAGCUUAAAACCUUUUUGAGUUUCCUUUAGCAAAUGUCAUAUGCAUUUUCUCUGAUCAAUGCACGAGAAAAUAUAACUUAGAGAUUGUUUAUCAAACGUUAGAAGUUUGUUAUUUGUUUUUGUGAUUUAUGUCUGAUUUUUAGAUAUUUACAUUUGAAUGGAAAAAAUAAAUUUUUAUAUCUUUUAUUUGAAUGGAAAAGGUUUGCAUGAAAAAUAAAUAUUAUAUUCCAAAAAUAUCUGUAUAAAAUAGUUUAUUUCCUCAACUAUAAGAUCUAAUCCUUUUUUGUUUUAAUUUAUGAGGAUAUAAUUAUCAAAGAAUCAAGUUUAAAACCUUUUUUUUUUGUUAUAAAAACAAAUAAGAUGUCAUUUAUACUCAUAUAUUAAAAAAAAAAAAGAAAUCUAAACGUUUCAUUCAAUUUUUUUUUAUUUAAAUCCAUUCAAACUUCUGAAAAAUUCAGAUUCAUUCUAAUUUCAGACUUUAAAAAAAAAUGUUAUCUUACUACAAACUAAAUUCCAAACUUAAUAAAUUAAUAUCAGAUCCCAGCCACAAUUCGCAUAUGAAAUGUUUGAGAACGAAGUUGUGAGAAAAUGCAGUCAGAAUCGACUGCCAUCAAUUAACAAGUUCCUUGGGAGGAAACAUGUUCAAUUUCUUUUUCUUUUUCUUUUUUUCCAAAAUUUUAAUGUGGAAAAUUAAUUCGGAUGCCGGGGUUAGUCCAACCACAGCACUCAUACUGGGCCGUGCGAGUUAAUUUUUGGGCCAAGUUCUUAACAUAUUUACUCAAUAUUUUGGAUGACAAAAUUGCCCAUAAACGCCCUGCAAGGACAUAACUGCAGAAAACAGGCUGGAGUAAAGUAUGCGACUAUGCGGUAACAAAACUUUCGGGACGCCUGCGUUAAUGACUUUUUGUUACUGCCACAAAGCAGUCACAAAAAGGUCAUUUGUGACUGCGGAGUGAUCACAUAAAACUCCUCCUCCUUGUAGUGCCACCUGCAAAAUAAUCCAUACUAGACCUCCUAAUUCUUCAUUUUCAUCCCUAUUAUUAAGUUAACUCGAUUGAAAUAUAUAUUUAUGAAAUUACAUGCACCAACUAUUUAUCGAGAAUUACAUUAAAUUAUGUAUAUAGCUAAUGUAAGAUCAAUUUGGAGAACUAAAAAUAUGUUAAUAAAAAUAGAAAACCGGGUUAUAUCGUUUGUCCCUCUUGUUCAUGUAUCGAUUUUUUUUUUUUAAAUUCCGCGGAACUACUGCAGCUACAGUGCUGGAAAGGAGCAAAUAUGUCGGAUUAUGCUAAGGAUUGCAUUAAAUGAACAAGAAGCUAUCCUAUAUUCUCUCAUUUUGCUAAAAGAUAAGGCAGUGAAAUAACUUCUAUUCUACUUCUACUUUGAAGAAUUUUACUGCUUCUCAAUCAACUACAUCAGCAGAAACUAUCAUAUUUCGCCACAUCAGCUUCAAUGACAGCUACUAAAGCACACAUUCUGGAAUCAUUGAACUCAAUCAUAACCAUCAAAUCAUUGACCACCGAUAGAUUGGCAUCUUAACUGAAUCCAAAGGAUAAAUCGCCUUCCGAAAACCGUUUGAUAAACCGAUCAGUUAGAAAAAGUAUCUACUUUAUUUAAUGUUAUAUAAUCCAAAUAAAUUAGUAUAAAAUAAGCCCCUAAUAGGAUUCUAGGGUUUUGAUUAGAGAAUUAAGAGAGAAUAGAUGAAGAAGUUAAAGAGAAGGGAGAAGAAUUAAUAGGAAUUAAAAUUAAUUUUAUUACUUGCGUCCUAAAAACAUAAUAAGAACCACUUACUUAUAGUAGUUCAAGACAAUCCUAAUUGUAAUUUAAUAAGGACUUUAAUUGAAAUAAGAAAAGCUAAUACUAAUAGGAAAGAAAUUAAAACAAGCAAUUAAAAUAAAAUAAACUAUUAGGGCCCUAACAGCCCCCAUGCAUCUGAUCACAACAAAUAUUCUUGAUGUAUCUGAUCACAACAAAUAUUCUUGUGAGGUCAAUUUUAUAGGGAAAGCAGCGUCUCCUUCAAGUUUCGGUAAAAGUUAUCAAUGCCGGACCAGCAGCAGGGAGAUAAGGACCAAGACCCUAACGGCCAAGACCGCAAUGGUAAAAACCCUAAUGGCCAAGGCCCUAAAGGAAAAAGGCCUAUAGAUCAUACUCGUGAUGCUUCACCACCUGUGCGGAAUCGGAUGAAUGCUGCUAAGGGUCCUGAGUUCGAUGAUAACUUUCCUCCUGGUUACAGGUUCAAGCCUCACGACAUAGAGCUUCUAGUUCAUUACUUGCGGAGGAAGAGAAUGAAUGAACCUUUGCCACCAAAUCGGAUUAAGGAAGUUCACUUGUACAAAUUUAAUCCUGAUACACUUUCAGGUUAAAAAUACCCACCACCCCAUUUCUCUUUUUUGUUUCUUUUGUUUUUUUGCAAUUGCCUUGCUGGUAUUUUUCUUUAAAUUAAGUAAUGCACUUACGCAUAUUAAGUUCUUUCUUUUUCUUGAGUUCAUUUGGUUAUUAAUUAGAGUGUAACUUCUUGAGUUUCUUGAAAUGGUUUAGUUUCUUGAGUUAGAAGUGUUUCCUUUGCGUUCGUUAUACAUAUAGUCUCAUAAUUUGAUUUGUUUUCGUACUUUGGUAAUGCUCUUAGCGCUUUUCUUGAGUUCAUUUGUAAUUGGAGUGGGCAUUUCUUGAGUUUCUUGAAAUAAAAUGGUCUGCUCUUCAGUUUCUUGAGUUAAAAGUUACUUCUUUGCGUUGUUGAAUGCUGAUUUAAUUUUCUACAUAUGGUCUCGUAGUUUGGUGCUUGUAUGUAUCCAAAACAAAGACUAUAAAUAUUUAUGUUGAUAUUAUUCCGUAUUCCAUAUAAUGGAAUCAGGAAGUGUAGAUCUUUUUUUUUUUUUUGGGUGAUUGAUACAAUGAUGAUUCUGUAUUAAUAAUGCACAGAAAAGUAUAAGCCGUUUGGUGAGAAUGAAUGGUACUUUUUUACUCCAAGAGAGAGAAAGUACAAAAACGGGACAAGACCCAAUAGAGCUGCUGGAGAUGGAUUCUGGAAGGCAACUGGAGCUGACAAACCUAUCAAAAACGACGACGUUGUCGUUGGAUUCAAGAAGGCAUUGGUCUUCUACAUGGGAAAACCCCCAAGGGGAGAUAAAACUGAAUGGAUAAUGCAUGAAUUUAGAUUGGAGGGUCCUCCAAGGACCAGAAUCAGUGGAGAUGACAUGAGGGUAACUAAAUUUUGUAGCUUCUUUCUGUGUCAUAUGUGAUGUGUUGCAGCAAUUUUACAAUGUUGGUUUGCUGAUGAGUUUUGCUUUUAUAUAUUAUGUUGAUUGCAGUUAGAUGAUUGGGUACUGUGUAAGAUAUAUAAGAAAAGGGACCAGGAUAGAUCUAAGCUGUCGUCUUCAAGACCUUCAACUUCGCAACGGGAUGAUUCAAUUUCAGGCCAAGAUGAUCCACAAUCAGACACUGAAUUUCAGGAUAAUGGAGCCAUUGAUAUGGGAGUUGAAGACUCUGCUACGCUGCCCAAUGAAACUUUCAUGCCUCACGGUCCUGAAGGUCCUCGAAUCAUUGAUAUGUCUGGUUUCUACAAUCAGGGAGGAUUUCUCAAUUCAUAUGAUGAUACUUUCAUUUAUCAUCAGAGCCACUUUGUUAAUCACAAUGUCCCAUAUUCUCAAGGCAGGGUUCCUGAAAUGCCUAAUUACUAUGUUCCAUAUGCUCAAGGCAGGGUCACUGGAAUGCCUAAUCACAAUGUUCCCUAUUCUCAAGGAAGGCUCCCUCGAUUGGCUAAUCACAAUGUUUCAGAUUCUCAAGGAAGGUUCCCUGGAAUGACAAAUCAAAAUGUUUCAGUUUCAGUUUCUCAGGGGAGGUUCCCUACAAUUGCUCCUUAUUCGUAUAACAAUUCUAUGGGGCAGAGCUCUCCAUGGACUCAACAUAUAAUGAUUCCGACUGCUAAUCAGAAUCCUAAUGAAGCUGCCGAAUCAUCAGCAGCAGCAAGGGGAAGACCUUUCCAGGCAUAUCCUCAUCAACAUAUGUUUGCUACUUCAAAUCGGAAUCCUAAUCAACCUGCAGAAAUAUCAUCAUCAGCAGCAGCAAGACCUUUCCAGACAUAUCCUCAUCAUCAUAUGUUUGCUACUUCUAAUCAAGUGGCAGAAUCAUCAUCAGCUGCAGCAGCAAGACCAUUUCAAGGUUUGGAGAGCGAUAUGAAAUUUGAACAGUUAAAUGAAUGUCCCCCGGAUGAUUUUUUGAAGGACCCUUCUGACGACAAUUGCUUUGAUCCGGAUUAUCAUAACUCCCGGAAAUUCUAACUCUGCCAUUUUUUUAUCCUUCGAUGAUCGAUGAUGACUGGCUUUGACAGAUUUGUUGAUUGAAAACGUAGUCAUAGUUACUACUAACUUUGUGCUUGACGUGAACAUUUCCAUAGAUUUUUCUCUAGGACGAUUAAUGGAUUAUUUUCUUAGAGGACUCUAUCUUCUAUUUUAGUUGUGGACCCAAUUUCUCUCACUUUGCAAGUGCCUCAUGUUGAUAGAUUUUAAAUUUGUCUUGAUUGCCAUGCAAAUUUUUAAAUAAGGUGGAUGUGGCUAUCCUUUUAUAAAUCACACUGAUUCAUAAAUAUUAUUCCCGCUUCCUAUGUCAUUAAAAGUAUAGAUUUUUGGUUUGUUAUAAUAUAUGACAUGGGGAACCCGGCUGAAACUUUUUUGGUUCAAUUACAAUGGUUACGCGUUGCCCAUUUGGUUACUUUAUAUUUUGUUGACAUAGGGUUACAAGCUUCUGGCAGCUGCUGUUUCUUCUGGAUAUAUAUAAUGCUAUUACAUUUUCCAUGGGGUAUGCCCUAUUUUUUCAGCCUUAAAAACUUUCAUGGUCUCCCUCGAUGUUUUCAGAAUCCUAAGAGGGAAGUGGGGAAAUCUAAUGCUACAAUAUAGUAAAUCCAAAACCAUUUCUCUUUGAUCUGGCAACUUCUGGGUGUCCACUAGAACAUACUAGAAAACAAAUUUUCAUGGAAGUGGCAUCGCAUUAUUUGUCGGUGGAUAUGCCAAAUGCUCAGGAGUAGGUGGAAAUAACCUAGGAAGCAAGUAGCAACUAUGCUCAUCUCUCCUGUAAAAUAAUGCCCGCAAGCAAUUUGACUGGCUUAAAGUUAUGACAAAGAUGCCCAUUUUCAAUGUGCACUUGUUUUUGCUAUCCAGCUGUUCAGUUCUCAACUCACCCCACCAACCAACUAUACAUUUCAAUAUUUGGCGAACAUUCGAUGCACUAACCAGCAGCUCCAAUAAAUAGCCUGGAACUCAGUAUUCUCAAGUGUGUCAAACUAAGUUGCAUAACGUUCCCGAAGUCAAUGCCUUGCUAUUCUUAUUCUUCUUAUCCAAUUUUCUUGUUCUCUUUUAUUGUCACAAGCUCUUUCAUUGUUGCAAAUGCUGGUAAUUUUAACAAAGAUGUUGAUAUUACAUGGGGUGAUGGACGUGCCAAGAUUCUCAACAAAGGCAAGCUUCUUACUCUGUCUCUCGACAAAGCAUCUGGCUCUGGCUUCCAGUCUAAGAAUGAAUUUUUCUAUGGAAAAUUUGAUAUGCAGCUCAAGCUUGUUCCCAACAACUCUGCUGGCACUGUCACUGCCUACUAUGUAAGCUCCUUAAUGAAAGAUUCUUUUUCCCUUUCACAUAUAAUUUGUUUGUCAGUCGUCACAUCAUUAUGUUGAUACGUAGACUUGCUAUGGUGCAGCUAAAAUCUCCAGGGGCAUCAUGGGAUGAAAUAGACUUCGAAUUCCUGGGGAAUUUGAGUGGCAACCCUUACAUUGUUCACACAAAUGUCUACACACAAGGAUAAGGUGACAGAGAGCAACAAUUCUACCUCUGGUUUGAUCCCACUGCCGAUUUUCACACUUAUUCAAUCCUCUGGAAUCCAGGUCACAUUGUGUUAGUACAUACACAACCCUGAUGUGAGCGAAAUUCGAAUCCUGGAUUUAAUUUUAUCAAGCUCGCAUUAACUUUUUAUUACAUUUUCUUUUUGUUCAGCUUCUAUAUCGAUGGCAGACCCAUCAGAGAAUUCAAGAAUCUCGAAUCAUUCGGCAUUCCGUAUCCCAAAAAACAAUCAAUGAGAAUGUAUGCUAGCCUGUGGAAUGCCGAUGACUGGGCUACAAGAGGGGGCCUGGCGAAAACAGACUGGUCUCAGGCUCCCUUCACUGCUUCCUUCGGAAACUUCAAUGCAAAAGCUUGUGUUUUGUCCAUCGGAAUAUCUUCUUGCAGCUCGAAUCCCGCAACUAAAAAUACAUGGUUUUCACAGGAGCUCGACUCUUCAAGCCAAAGGAAGCUAAAAUGGGUGCAGCAAAAUUACAUGGUUUACAAUUAUUGCGCAGACACAAGUUGGUUCCCUCAGUGCCUCCCCCAAGAAUGCACCAACAAAAAUUAGGACGAUGAAUCUUUUCUAAUCCAUUCAGUGUUUGGAAAUUCGUAUUUCAAUUAUAUUUUUAUUCUUUCUUCUACUUUUCUCAAUAGGGUUUCUUGAUUGCCAUCAAUCAUAUAACAUAAGAAUAUCGCUUCCCACUUGAUGCAUCUAAAUAAUAGUAAUAAAUGAUGUAGGAUGGUUUCAUCAAAAUUCAUUUUUCUUUUUAUUUUUUCAUUUUGGACUUCGGUUGGCAUCCUCAUCAUUAGAUAAUUAUUCUACAAAGUAAUAUAAUAUAUUAUUUACCCUUAUUAUAUAUGCCAAUUAUCAAGAAGAAAUGGGUAGGUAUUGAUAUUAAGGACUCAUCAGGUCCCUGCUAGGCCCAAAUGAAAUUAGUUCAAGAAUCAUGAACCUUGCAGGCCGAGCUCUAAUGGGCCAUUUAUGAUUUGCAUAAGUAUCCCAAACUUCUUCCAAAGAUAACUGCAAAAAAUUUAACAAAGUUGAUUGUUUUCCUCAAAUCGAACAAUAUUCAGAUUUUGUUCAGUGUUCAAUUACCCUAAGAAUUUUCUUUCCUAACUCAUGCAGAGCAAUCCAUAAUCUCAUUUCGCCAUGGCUUUUAUCCAAGUCACAUGUAGCCGCCCAUGCAUGGGGAGAUUGUAUAUUACAUUGAAAAUUUAUACCGUUAUGAUACUGCUCACAGGAAACAUGUCACCAAGUGUUAAGAAAGACGAGUUAUAUAAUACGUAAUUAACUAAUCACUGAACCCAAAGCAUGCGCCAACAAUGUCCUAAUUUGCCUCAACGACUUGUUUAUUAAGGCAAAGCCGGCCAGGGUCUUUUGAGAAAGCUUCAGCCAAGAUGCUGGAAGAGAGUGCUAGAGAGUGUUAAAGUGUAAUUUCCUUUACAAUAUGUUUGAACUGACACUUUGAAUGUCUUGAAAUUAAUACCAAUUUUUUUUGGGAUACUGCAUGUUAUAAUCAUUCUCAGGUGUGGACGCCGUAUUUUUUUUAAUACGGAUACACUUUUAUACUGUGUUGUUUAAAAGAUUUAGUUUUUAAAUGAACUGUAAAAUCGUAGGGCUUAAGUGAGUUAAAAGUUAAUUUUCUUAAAUUCUACGGUUUUAAAGUAUAUUCGCAUGAAAAUAAAAUAAGGAUGUCCACACUAUAAAAAGACUACUGCAUGUUAUAAGAAAGGUUAAAAAAAUUUUAUGAAUCAAUUUGUGGGUUGCAUGAACAGACUUCGUACUCAACUGUCAUUAUUCUUUGGACCUACAUUCUGGUUUCUCUCCUUUUUUUGUUUAAAUAAAGAAUCAAAUCUCUUUAUCUCGGCUUACUGUUGCAAGAAAAUUAAAAAGUACAAACCAAGAGAACGAAUACAAUACAACAUAAUCUGUUCCCCAACCCUCGAGGUAAUUAAUGGAAAGUGGGCAACAAUGUAUUUGACAGCAUUUCAAUAGAAGGAUGAUAUUCUGGUUUAUUUUCAAGGAUAGAUUGUGUUCGAGUAACAAUGUUUUAGAUGAUAUAUCACCAGCUGGCCUUUUGUAUCGUAGUCAUCUAAUGGACCCCCGUUCCUUGACCUGAUCCUGUUCACAAGUACGACAAUGACUAACCGACCGUCUGUCAAAUGCUUGAAAGAAUUUGACGCGGGAUUGAGCCCCAAGGACUGUGGUGGUGGAAUCGGCAGAAGCAAAAGUACAACCUAAACCCGUAUCUACAUAGAUAUGUGCGAGUACCGGAUAAUCAUGAUCGCAAUUCAAGAUCAAGUGGGUAUGCAUGCAGGCACCGAACCCCAUUUGGAAUUUGGGGCCAUGUCAUAUAAUCUGUCUGCAAAUGAGAAACAGCCAAAUUUGCCUCUCUUUCAAUUCAUGGCACAGCCAGCUGUUGACAACUUUGCACUCUCAGAAACGGCAAACAUGAAACAACCAUCCAAACGCACCCUCUUCUUCACUCUUCUUUUGUCCAUUUCUAUACUCCAAUCCCCUAUAUAAUAUUACAUUACAUCCAUGCAAAACUAGUAAUAAUUUAUGCACUAUUCAGUAUAGCGAGCUCCAGAUCCCAAAAUCCUGAAAGAUAUGGGUUCUGAUUCGUUUGGGGUGAUGAUGUGUACUUUUGUUGGGCGUUUAGCUGCUGUUUCUGCUGGUAAUUUCAAUGAGGAAUUUGAUAUCACAUGGGGAGAUGGUCAUGGGAAAAUAUUCAACAACGGCCAACUGCUUACUCUCAAUCUCGACCAUUACUCUGGCUCAGGCUUCCAGUCCAAGAAACAAUACUUAUUCGGCAAGAUUGAUAUGCAACUCAAGCUUGUCCCUCGCAACUCUGCUGGCACUGUCACUGCUUAUUAUGUACGCUUUUCUUUUUAUCAACACCUGCUGUUUUCAUUGAUUUCUUUGUAAUGAUGCUAAUUAAUAUUAAUUAUGAGAGUCUUUGAUGUUGUAGCUACGCUCACAAGGACCAACAUGGGAUGAGAUAGACUUUGUAUUCUUGGGAAACCUCAGUGGUCAUCCGUACACAGUUCACACAAAUGUGUACAGCCAAGGCAAGGGUGACAGAGAGCAGCAAUUUCAUCUCUGGUUUGACCCCACAGUCAACUUUCACACUUAUUCAGUUCUCUGGAAUCCUCAACGCAUUGUGUAAAGUCCAUUUCUCUCUUAUUAGUAUGUCAUUCGCUUCUACAAUUUUAUUGACUUGUGUUGUUCAAUUAAUUGCAUUAUUUCAGCUUCUCUGUUGAUGGUAUUCCAAUUAGAGAGUUCAGAAACCUGGAGGCUAUAGGCGUUCCAUUACCAAAGAAUCAGCCAAUGAGAAUAUACUCAUCUCUUUGGAAUGCUGAUGACUGGGCUACAAGAGGUGGGCUAAUCAAGACGGAUUGGAGCCAAGCUCCUUUCACUGCUUCUUACAGAAAUUUCAAGGUUGAUGGUAGCCGUGCCUGGCUCUUGCAACAAAUGGAUUCCACAAACCAACGGAGGCUUUACUGGGUGCGGAAGAAUCACAUGAUUUACAAUUACUGCACUGACACCAAGCGAUUUCCCCAGGGCUUUCCCAAAGAAUGCGCUGUCCAUUAAAGCUGGCUGUUCCAAAAACUUUAGCGCCUAGGUACAGGAGCUGUCUUGUAUAACAUAACAUUAAAUGAUAAAAUGUAAGCUAAUUAGUAGUGAGGGAUGCCUUUAGCACUAUCCGAAUUAGGUAGUCGGCUGGUUUUGUAUUUUGAAUAGCUAUUUAUUAACAUAAUAAUAAUAUUUAUUUUAAGAUUCUAAUUUUUUAAAGUUGCGUAUAUAUUGAAGGAAAAUUUAAUUUUUAGGAAUCUCCCUAUUAUUAUUCUCAUUCAUAAUUAUCUCUAUAUUUAAUAAUCUUUACUUUAAAAAUAAUUUUUUUUAUAAAAAUGUGAUAUUUAUGGUAUAAUAAUUAUUCUAAGCCUUUGAAACUUUAUUUGGUUAAUAAUUACAAGAAAAAAAUUCAACGUUUUCCCUUUCCCAAAAAUAACUACUCUAUUAAAAUUAUAAAUGUUAGAUUUUAAAACAUCUAGUAUUCUAUUCAUUCUAUUUCAAACUUCAAAACUAAUAGAUAUUGAAUCAAUGAUACUCACCCAAAAAAAAUUUCUCUCAUAUCUACUCGGAAUAUUAUUCUAAUCUUCCCUAUAAACUUCAUUGCCAGCAUCUAACAUUUGACUAUCAUAUUCAUCUCAACUAAUCAACCUUUUACGUGCUAUCGUUCUAAUUUUCUAUUUUAAUUUAUUAUUAUUAUUUUUUAAAUUUAUUAUAUUUUUUUAUUUGUUGCAUUAAUAUAUGACUUGAAUCAGUUAUGAAGUUUGUGAUUUGUAUAGCAUAAAUGUUGAUAAUUGACAAAUUUAACAAACAUGGUGAGCUUAGUUAAUGUUCUUUUAGAAAUAAAUAUAUAUCUUUUCAUUUAUUAUUAUUAUCUGCUGUACCGUACAUCUCUGGUUUGACCCCACAGUCAACUUUCACACUUAUUCAGUUCUCUGGAAUCCUCAACGCAUUGUGUAAAGUCCAUUUCUCUCUUAUUAGUAUGUCAUUCGCUUCUACAAUUUUAUUGACUUGUGUUGUUCAAUUAAUUGCAUUAUUUCAGCUUCUCUGUUGAUGGUAUUCCAAUUAGAGAGUUCAGAAACCUGGAGGCUAUAGGCGUUCCAUUACCAAAGAAUCAGCCAAUGAGAAUAUACUCAUCUCUUUGGAAUGCUGAUGACUGGGCUACAAGAGGUGGGCUAAUCAAGACGGAUUGGAGCCAAGCUCCUUUCACUGCUUCUUACAGAAAUUUCAAGGUUGAUGGUAGCCGUGCCUGGCUCUUGCAACAAAUGGAUUCCACAAACCAACGGAGGCUUUACUGGGUGCGGAAGAAUCACAUGAUUUACAAUUACUGCACUGACACCAAGCGAUUUCCCCAGGGCUUUCCCAAAGAAUGCGCUGUCCAUUAAAGCUGGCUGUUCCAAAAACUUUAGCGCCUAGGUACAGGAGCUGUCUUGUAUAACAUAACAUUAAAUGAUAAAAUGUAAGCUAAUUAGUAGUGAGGGAUGCCUUUAGCACUAUCCGAAUUAGGUAGUCGGCUGGUUUUGUAUUUUGAAUAGCUAUUUAUUAACAUAAUAAUAAUAUUUAUUUUAAGAUUCUAAUUUUUUAAAGUUGCGUAUAUAUUGAAGGAAAAUUUAAUUUUUAGGAAUCUCCCUAUUAUUAUUCUCAUUCAUAAUUAUCUCUAUAUUUAAUAAUCUUUACUUUAAAAAUAAUUUUUUUUAUAAAAAUGUGAUAUUUAUGGUAUAAUAAUUAUUCUAAGCCUUUGAAACUUUAUUUGGUUAAUAAUUACAAGAAAAAAAUUCAACGUUUUCCCUUUCCCAAAAAUAACUACUCUAUUAAAAUUAUAAAUGUUAGAUUUUAAAACAUCUAGUAUUCUAUUCAUUCUAUUUCAAACUUCAAAACUAAUAGAUAUUGAAUCAAUGAUACUCACCCAAAAAAAAUUUCUCUCAUAUCUACUCGGAAUAUUAUUCUAAUCUUCCCUAUAAACUUCAUUGCCAGCAUCUAACAUUUGACUAUCAUAUUCAUCUCAACUAAUCAACCUUUUACGUGCUAUCGUUCUAAUUUUCUAUUUUAAUUUAUUAUUAUUAUUUUUUAAAUUUAUUAUAUUUUUUUAUUUGUUGCAUUAAUAUAUGACUUGAAUCAGUUAUGAAGUUUGUGAUUUGUAUAGCAUAAAUGUUGAUAAUUGACAAAUUUAACAAACAUGGUGAGCUUAGUUAAUGUUCUUUUAGAAAUAAAUAUAUAUCUUUUCAUUUAUUAUUAUUAUUAUUAUUUGAUCUUUUUGGUAAUUGUUGAAAUUCACCAAAAAUGUAAAAUCUGGGGACGUCGGACGUCCAUACUGUAUGUUCUAUUUACAUCCAAGUCCCUUUAUGUUAUUAUUAUUAUUAUUUGAUUGAGAAAACCAAAGGUUGCAAUUAUUAGGUGUAUUAACCGUUCACGCCCCCAAUCAAGAAGAUGCUCAAUCCCAAAAUGCCAUAAAGCUUGGAUCCUAAAUUUGUGAACAUGCAUGAAUACUACAUGAAAGAAUCAAAGAUGAAUAUAAGAAUUAAAUAACUGGAUACAAUUGUGAUUGUAUUUGUUCUUGAUUUAUCUUUUUAUUGUCAUGUUACUGUUGGGUGUACUAUUUUAACAGGACAUUAAAAAAAAAAUCUCGGAGUGGGUGUCGGUGAAUUUUAAUCGUUUGCUUGCAAGAUGUUUGAUAAAAGUCCCAAAUGAGAGAAGUCGUUUUAAUGGCAAUAGAAUAUUUUGCUAGUCCUUACCCGUUAAGUCAGUCAAAAAUUUAGAGUACCAUUGCAUAUGUGAAGAGGUUUGGUCGUUUCUACGUUAAAACCUAGCCAAAGAAGAACAUAUAGCAAGCAUGCGAAGAGUAGAGAACAUAAUCUCAUGAUAUUUAUAUGCUAAAUUUUGUAUUACAUUGAGAAAGUUGGACUAAUUUGCCAUUUUAUUGACGACAAAAUACAACAAAGAAUCAAAGAAUUGACAAAAAGAAUAAAUUUUUUUGAUGUAUGUGUUGAUUUUGCAAAACUUCUAAGAGGUUCUGCAUUCUGCAGGGAGUCCCUGGGGAAAUCUCUUUGCAUCAGCGCAAUAAUUGUAAAUCAUGUAAUUCUUCUGCACCCAUUUCAGCCUUUCUUGACUUGUUGAAUCAAGCUCUUGUGAGAACCAGGCACUGCUGCUGGAUGGAGAGGAAGGUGAACUUGAAGCGCAAGAAGAUUUUCCAUUAGACCAGACACAGGCAUCAGCGUUGAAGUUUCUGUAGGAAGCCGUGAAGGGAGCAUGCGUCCAAUCUGUCUUGACAAGGCCACCUCUUGUAGCCCAGUCAUCAGCAUUCCAGAGAGAUGAGUAUAUUCUCAUUGGCUGAUUCUUUGGGAAUGCAACUCCAAUUGACUCUGAGUUCUUGAACUCUCUUAUGGGAGUACCAUCCACAGAGAAGCUGAAAAUUAAGUAAACAUUGAUAAGUCUAAGCAGAUUGAAUGACAAGGAAAGAAGAAAUGAUGGAGAUUGAAGGAAAAUAUUGCUUACACAAUGCGCUGAGGAUUCCAGAGGAUAGAAUAGGUGUGAAAGUCAGCAGUGGGGUCAAACCAGAGGUGAAAUUGUUGUUCUUUGUCACCUUUGCCAUUUGUGAAUACAUUGGUAUGCAGAGUGUAAGGGUCACCACUUAAAUUCCCCAAGAACUCGAAGUCUAUCUCAUCCCAUGUUGAUCCUGGCGAUUUUAACUGCGUGAACAAAAAGUCAAAGGUCUAUAUGUCAGAUACAUGAUGAUCAAACAUGCAUAUUGUUUAUUCAUAUAAAGGCAGGAACUUACAUAAUAAGCAGUGACAGUGCCGGCAGAGUUGCCAGGGACUAGUUUGAGUUGCAUAUCAAUCUUGCCGAAUAGAUACUCAUUCUUGGACUGGAAGCCGGAGCCAGAGGCUUUAUCAAGGGAAAGAGUAAGAAGCUGGCCGUUGUUGAGUAUAUUAGCACGCCCGUCUCCCCAAGUGAUAUCAAAAUCUUGGUGGAAGUUACCAGCAGAGGCAACCAUCAAAGAGCCAAGAAGCAGCAGCGACAGAUGCAAUACUGAAGCCAUGGAAGCUUUCGUCUGAGCAACAACAAGAUAGAAGAAUUUGAGUUGGAGAGAAGUUUGAAAUUUUUGAAAGUGAAGCGAUGAGUGUGUUUGGGAUCUCACCAGGGUUUGGUAUUUAUAGCUUGAUUGAGCUGGUGAAGGUGAGUAUAACGAAAGCAGAGGAAAGUAAUGGGAAGCUCCAGUUAGUUCAGCUUCAGCUGUGGCCAGUUGUUUGCGUAAAAUAGCGUGAUGAAAUAAAAACAGCUGUCCGAAUCGCACUAACAGAACACGCUACAACAGGGACUUUUUUUUUUAUUACAAUACGCGGCUUUGCAUUACUUUUGAGACUCAAGUACUUAUUAUGUACUGCUGUUCUGUUCCCACCACCGGCUGACUCUUAUUAGAUUUUUUUUUUUUUCCAACCACCGCCAGUCAAAACACAAAAAAGAAAAUGUAGAAUUCACUGGGUGCUCUUCUCUCUCGAGAUUUUUUUUUUCCAUUUUAUGCUCAAAAGAAAAAGAAAAAAAAUUGUUCAAUGACGUACUUAAUUAACAGAUUUUUUUUUAUAACUAUAUUUAUUAUCAGGAAAUCAUUUGGUUCAAAAGCUUAAGACGUUAAACAGGAGUCCAGAAAAUAGCAUUAAAGUGUUGAAAGACCUGCCCGUGUGAAACAUGGAUCCAGUUUGAAGGUCAUGUCGUUCCAAAAGCGGAGAUAGGAGAUUGAAUUAGAGGUUCUUGAACAUACAAGAAUUGAAACAUAUACGUGUGUUAUUCGCAAAAAAUUGAGCACGCUGAGAUUUGAACAAGAAACCUUUGCUAUGUAAAAACGAAAAUGGCUUGACCCAAGAAAAUUAAAGACAAGUCUUUACUGGAGUCCCUAACAUGAAACAUGGAUCUAACAUCUAAGAAAUAUGUAUCCCUAUAUUUCCGAUACAGAUGCUUCCUAGUAACAUGAAACUGUGAAUUUGUAUCCUAAUUUUAGGUUAAUUGAUAACACAUACUUCCUGGUGAUUUCCUGUGUAAUAAAACGCAUAUGGAAUUGGAAGAUAUGCUUAUUAUUAUUAUUAAGGAAUUUAUAGAUAUUGGUAUUUAAAUCGAACGGACUGAAGAUUUUGCUGUUUUGUAUACUACCACUUAUACUAGAGAAUGUUUUAUUUGUUUAACUGGAAAGGCGGUGGUGGCAUGGCGAGGUUGGCUCGCCUUGAAAUAUCAACACUCGAGAGCUGGCUCGCACCUUGUCCUCCUAUCAAUCUCUCAUUGUUAAUUAACAAGCACAUUCCUCAUCCAAUAACGGUAUGCAUCACUCUUCCUCAUCGACUUGUGUAAGUUCACUCGGUUAGUUUUUUUAAUUUUAUUUUUGCCAUUUUACCCUUUUACUGCCUUAUCAAAUACUAAUCAAUGGCCAAAAUUUCUCCUCGAUUGACACAAAUACGGUAACGCCCACGCGCAGUACAUUUUCUUCUCAUUCUGGUGGAGACUCAUUUGCUCUUUUAUCUUCAUGCUUCCUCGAUAAUUCUUCAUAUUCCAAUCUAGGGUCUAAAAGCUUUAUUAAUGAGUCAUCAUGUCAAUACCUUUAAUUAGGCUUAUAACUAUAUGCUAAAGCUUACGAAGAAUAACAACAAAGAAGAACAAAAUCUUUUGAAAUAGUAAUAUUAUGUUUACUUAGUUAGCAUACUUAAUUUGUAUACCACGCAAGUACGCAUAACAUUAUCCUUUUUUAAAUUCAUUAACCAGUGUUACAUAUGGUAAAAAUUGGACUAACAUGCCAUUUUAUUGAUUACAGAGAAACAAAGAAUCUGACUCCAGAAUCUACAUGAAUUGAAUAACCAUUGAAUGAUUACACGAAAGAAUAAAAUAAUUUUUAAGUGUCUUGUUGAUUAUUUUCUCUAGGAGAUUCUGCAUUCUGCAGGAAGGCCCUGAGGAAAUCUCUUUGUAUCAGUGCAGUAAUUGUAAAUCAUGUAAUUCUUCUGCACCCAUUUCAGCCUACUUUGAUUUGUUGAAUCUAGCUCUUGUGAGAACCAAGCACCGUUGCUGGAUGUAGAGGAAGCAGAAUUUGAAGCGCAAGAAGAUUUUCCAUUAGACCAAACACAAGCUUCAGCAUUAAAGUUUCUGUAGGAAGCAGUGAAAGGAGCAUGCGUCCAAUCUGUCUUCACGAGGCCACCUCUUGUGGCCCAGUCAUCAGCAUUCCAAAGAGAAGAGUAUAUUCUCAUUGGCUGAUUCUUUGGGAAUGGAACGCCAAUUGACUCUGAGUUCUUAAAUUCUCUUAUUGGGGUGCCAUCAACAGAGAAGCUGAAAAUUAAGUAAACAUUGAUAAGUCUAAGCAGAUUGAACGACAAGGAAAAAACAAACGAUGGAGAUUGAAGGAAAAUAUUGCUUACAUAAUGCGCUGAGGAUUCCAGAGGAUAGAAUAGGUGUGAAAGUCAGCAGUGGGGUCAAACCAGAGGUGAAAUUGUUGCUCUCUGUCACCUUUGCCAUUUGUAAAUACAUUGGUAUGAAGAGUGUAAGGGUCACCACUUGAAUUUCCCAGGAAUUCAAAGUCUAUCUCAUCCCAUGUUGAUCCCGGUGAUUUUAGCUGCAUUAGAAAAAAAAAAAAGAAGAUAUUUAUAUGUAUCAUCACAUAUGAUUAUUCAACUACGAGCCCUUUUGCAAACAUAAUACUUGCGUAUGAUUAAGUUGUAUUAAAAGGAGGAACUUAC
Molecule: long non-coding RNA, 38236 nt
Filed under: Citrus sinensis (sweet orange)
Lineage: Eukaryota; Viridiplantae; Streptophyta; Magnoliopsida; Sapindales; Rutaceae
Description: long non-coding RNA (CSIN_LNC001575)
Source: RNAcentral